This 199-nucleotide ribosomal RNA is filed under the name uncultured bacterium. RNAcentral's name for it is "partial 16S ribosomal RNA". It matches the Rfam family "Bacterial small subunit ribosomal RNA", at positions 328 to 539 of the family's 1533-position model. The record is from RNAcentral.
ACGCUCGACACCUACAGGAGGCAGCAGUCGGGAAUAUUGCGCAAUGGAGGAAACUCUGACGCAGUGACGCCGCGUAUAGGAAGAAGGUUUUCGGAUUGUAAACUAUUGUCGUUAGGGAAGAGAAAGGACAGUACCUAAGGAGGAAGCUCCGGCUAACUACGUGCCAGCAGCUGCGGUAAUCUGAGCGGGCUGGCAAGGC